AUUGAACGCUAGUGGGAUGCUUUACACAUGCAAGUCGAACGAGUGGCGGCCGGGUGAGUUAUAUCUCGGAACGUGCCCAGUAUCGGGGGAUAACUACUCGAAAGAGUGGAUAUUACCGCCUACUAUUGGAGCGGCCGAUAUCGGUUUAGUCAGUUGGUGGGGUAAAGGCUCACCAAGGCAACGACCCGUAGCUGGUGUGAGAGGACGACCAGCCACACUGGGACUGAGACACGGCCCAGACUCCUACGGGAGGCAGCAGUGGGGAAUUUUGGACAAUGGGGGAAACCCUGAUCCAGCCAUCCCGCGUGUAUGAGAAGGCCUUCGGGUUGUAAAGUACUUUUGGCAGAGAAGCGGUAUCUGCAGAAUAAGCACCGGCUAACUACGUGCCAGCAGCCGCGGUAAUUC
This 405-nucleotide ribosomal RNA is filed under the name uncultured bacterium. RNAcentral's name for it is "partial 16S ribosomal RNA". It matches the Rfam family "Bacterial small subunit ribosomal RNA", at positions 30 to 526 of the family's 1533-position model. The record is from RNAcentral.